Molecule: ribosomal RNA, 465 nt
Filed under: uncultured bacterium
Lineage: Bacteria
Description: partial 16S ribosomal RNA
Rfam family: Bacterial small subunit ribosomal RNA
Source: RNAcentral
GACGAACGCUGGCGGCGUGCUUAACACAUGCAAGUCGAACGGAAAGGCCCUGCUUGCAGGGUACUCGAGUGGCGAACGGGUGAGUAACACGUGGGUGAUCUGCCCUGCACUUCGGGAUAAGCCUGGGAAACUGGGUCUAAUACCGGAUAGGAGCCAUUUUUAGUGUGAUGGUUGGAAAGUUUUUUCGGUGUAGGAUGAGCUCGCGGCCUAUCAGCUUGUUGGUGGGGUAAUGGCCUACCAAGGCGGCGACGGGUAGCCGGCCUGAGAGGGUGGACGGCCACAGUGGGACUGAGAUAGGGCCCAGACUCCUACGGGAGGCAGCAGUGGGGAAUAUUGCACAAUGGGCGCAAGCCUGAUGCAGCGACGCCGCGUGGGGGAUGACGGCCUUCGGGUUGUAAACUCCUUUCGCUAGGGACGAAGCUUUUUGUGACGGUACCUAGAUAAGAAGCACCGGCUAACUACGUG